Molecule: non-coding RNA, 3598 nt
Organism: Rattus norvegicus (Norway rat)
Lineage: Eukaryota; Metazoa; Chordata; Mammalia; Rodentia; Muridae
Source: RefSeq, a predicted model, not a curated record
AUCGUGUUCAUUUCCCUUUGUGUUUACAUGUUUGUAAUCAAACACCCAUAAAACACAUCAAUAACAUUGGACGGGGCACCCUAAAAAGCAUGUUUGAACUUAAUAUUGUCAUGGGCCUCAUCUCAGAGUUAUGUUCGUUUCGGAAGCACUAGUGAAUUUUGGUGGGAGGAUGUGAUAUUGUUCAGCUCCUAACAGAGGUAUAUGCAAGCCACAUUCUGAAAAACGUGUAGGCUCUCCUUACUUCAUAUGCAAACAAACCAAUUUCUGUAAACAUUUUUCCUAAAAGCAGUUCUUGAAGAGAAAUGUACAAAUAAUAGGUACGCUUCCUUAAUUGAUUGUUUUUAAGCCAUGUGCUUGGAGUUUUGCUCAAGAAAAAUAAUGUGUGGAACCCACCUUAUAAAUCAGCCGCCUUAGAAAAAUGUCUGUCUUGGAGGCCAAUUUUUCUCUCCCUUAUCAACAAACCUUUCCCAGUCAAGGUUCAAGCGGGAUGGUGUAGUACAGGCAAGUGGACACAAGGUGGCGCCCUGGGCAGUGGCAAGGAGCAGGCAAAAUGCAGCAGGCUCUGGAUUUGGUUUGAAUGAAGAAUGAGUUCAGUCCCUGUUGAUUGGAGCUGUGGGGUGGAGCUUUGCAGCGUCAGGACCUUGCCACAGAAACAGGCUGUUUAGAUUCCUAUCUAUUUGUUUCACAGGCUAUUGUUUGACCCAGAGAUUUGUCUCCUCUGUGCCCCUGGCUGGGUGAAGUGAGGGCAGACCAGUAGCUGAUUUGCAUCUUGAAGUGCUGUCUAGAACUGGUCAGUCGGGUCUGGGGUCAAGUUUGGGCUUGCUCUUCGUCACCAGCCGCUCCCUAAGUCUUCUUUGUUUAUUGAAAAAAGUUGCAUCCUGGACCGGUUCCCGGCCCAAGCUCUACGUGUCACCACACAAGUCCGGUUGUCUUCAACGGUUCGUCCCCUGACGGUGGUUCUCCGGCUUUCUUCUACUUGUGGACGGAGAACUGGCUCUGUUUCCCUUGACAUCUUGCUUCCAUCUCGACCAUUAUGGGAAGGAAGAGUGGACGAGUUUGUGUUUUCCUGUGGUUCCCCUUUCCUCCUGCAGGCAAGAGUUGGUCCCUCUGGGCCCCCAGCUCCUACCGGGUGUGCCCCCAGCUCUACUGGGAGCCCUCGCUGGUUUUUAGCGUCACCUCUGUACCCUGAAGGUUUCAGCAGGAAGCAGCUUCUGCAUGGACACCUGGGGUUGGUUCGCCUCUGUCGAUGUCUGUAAACUUCUGGAAAUAUCUUCAUUAAAUUCUCUCUAGUCAACUCUUAAAGGUGUUGGCUCUAGUGGCAAGGUUUUGUUUGCUUCACAGAGCCAGAAAAACCCUCUUGGUGCCUCCGUUUCUCUUCUUUUAAAUGAGAGCAUUUAUAUCUGCCUUAUUAAUGAGGAUCCUCUCUAACAACUACUGUAAACCAAGUGACAUCUGAAACCUGUUAACUUCUCUGCACAAGCCUCUGGAAUCGGCAGAGUGAGGGUCACAGACUAGACACUCGGUCCAAUGUCUUCCUUCGUUUAUGGGCAGAUUAAUGAGUGUCUUUAUGCCAAAGCACCAAGGCACACAGAAGGUUGGCACAGCAGUGCCAGCAAACACUGUGACCCUGGUAUCGACUGUGAGGCCAGCCUGCCUUCAGGAGAGCCUCAGGUCCUUAUAAGUGACAUGUGCUGUGUUGCCUGAAGGAUACUAGUUUGUUCCUCCCUCUUUCCCAUCUUGCCGGCUCCUUCCUCCCACCUGCAAAAUCAAUCAAACAAAAACAAAACAAAAACAAACAAACAAACAAAAAACGGAAGCUGCCCAGGUCCAGUUGUUUAUUCGAAGGUACAGCAAAGCCAGGGAGACCAAACAACCUUUAACAGGAGCUCUGUUGGGGACAGGAAGCAGCUUUUAGGUGUCCUUUGCUCCCUUGGUUGGACACUGCGGCCUUCAUGCUCGGUGGCAGCAGCUCAGAAGCCUGUCCCGUCUGACUGCAGAUGAACGUGGCCAUCUCCUGCCACUGUGGGACUGGGACUCCAGUCUGGAACGUUUCUUCUCCAGUCUCUGGGUCUUGAAGCCUCCGAGUUCGUAUGUGAAGAUGAGGAAGUCUUCAUAGCAUGGAGAGAACUAACGGCCCCAACAUCCCCUUAGUUGGACAUUCUGUGAGGCUCUGGGCCAGGAUCGAUUUCUUUAGCUUACAACUACGAAUCCAGACUUAUCCGCCAUCCAUAAAAAUGAUCGGCCUAUAAAGAAUUUACUUUAUGGGUAAAUUGAAUUGUUAGACCAGAAUAUGGUGAUCACUGUGGCCGGCCAUCAUUCACACAGCACAUGUGGGGACUAUUAAAGCUGCACCGUGGGCUGUUAGCUGUGACUUGUGGCCCAGAAUUAAUUCUGACUUUGAAAAGUCUGUCUAUGAGUUUAACAGGUCAUAUAUCAAAUACUUCAGACUGCUUUGCCAGAGCUAGAACAGCAAGGGGGAGACCAGUGAGAAGGAGAAAUGUAGCAUAAACAACAGUAACAUAUCAGGCAGUUCUGCAGCUCCCGGGCAGCUGAGGAUACAUAGUGUUUUUUUUUUUUUUCUUUUGCACAACUUAUUUCGACCCCAGGAUAGGCUCACGGUGGAAGGCAUUGCUAUCAAUAAUAAUCCUGGUUAAGGGGGCUUGCAUUCAGGGUCAUGCCAGCCCCAGGGUUUGAACCUGUCAACCCUUAGCCACGGUUACAGAGAGCAAUUAAAGCCCGUAGAGCCAGGCUUGGUGACACACACUUGUGAUCCCAGCCCUUUGGAAGUUGAAGCAGGAAGAUGGAGGUCGUCCUUAGCUGCAGAGGGUGUUUGAGGCCAGCCAGGGCUAUGCCAGACCCGGUGUCAAACACAGAACAAACCAAAGAACUCAGAGAACUCUCCGUUCUCUCUGCUCUUGAUGUAUACUCAGACUAGAAACAGCCAAGGAUAGGGAGUGAAGGUUAUUCAUUCUUAGUCAGGCUCUCGGGACAGUUGGUCUGAGGUGUUUAACUUGCCCUCAAGCGUUAACAGUCUCUUUACUUGGUAGGUCAUUCUGGGCAGAGAAUCCAAUUGUGGGAGAUCCUUCCCAAGGCCUGAAGCUCUCUGGCUCACUCUCCAAUCUGGCUGCAGCCAGUGCAGUCAGCGCCAAGCUUUGCAAAUCUCCUUGUUUACUGGGUUGAGCUGACCAAAUAUGCAGGUAGGAAGUCAGCCCGAAGGCUCAUCGCUCCCCAACACAGAGGUGGAAGGAGUAAGGUGAACACUGCGUUGGGAGACUCAAUUAGAUCGCAAGGAGGAAGAAAGGUAGCACAAUUGUUGCCGGCCCACAGCAGACCAUGAGGAAUGCUUACUCUCUGUGGCUGAUGGGGUGCGUACACUGGCUAAGACUCAUCUUGAGGACGGAGAAGGAAGCAUCUUGAAAGGGGCUCGUUUUUAAAGCACCUGGGAAUGUUUGUUUCCGGGGUCCGGGCCCCAGCAUGGGGGUCUGCUCUCCCUAUGGUCAUGGACCUCUUGAGACUUUCUCUGGGACUCCCUGGAGUGGAUAUGGUUGCCAGGCAUCCUGAGGGUACCAAGCACAGCUCUCAGCAACCUUCAUUUUUG